CCCCUUGAUAUAUACAUUCACUCAAUCAAUAUAGUCCACAAUGCAUAUAAACAUCCCUAUCAUUAACCGUCUAACUACCAUCAGCCUCACUAUCUGUUAACCACCCCGCCUUGUUACAGCCCUACCAGCGUCUCCACGUGAUGAACAACAGCCUCCAGCAUCUUGUCAGCCGUCCCAGCCUCUCGUCGCUCUUUCCCCGCUAGACUCUGGGUUAAGACGUGAUGAACCCCCAGCCUGCAGCUUCUUGUCACACCUCCCAUCCCGGCCUUUCCCCGCUGGAUGCUGCUUCGAGACGUGAUGAACCCCAGCCUCCAGCAUUUGCCACACCUCCGAGCCUCUCUCCUCGUCAUUUGCCCGAUGGACCCUGGACGAGGAGGACGUGAGGAAGAGAAGGUGAAGAUGAAGACGAGGAAAUAGUGGGCUGUGGAAAGGAAGAGGAGGAAGAGAAGAGGAAGAAGAGGAAGGAGCAAAAAUGACACCCAAGUCUUUCUGUGGGUGACGCGACUUCCCCCAGCAUCCGAGGGUGUUCUGUGGAUGACGUGACCUCUUCCCAGCAUCCAAGAGUGUUCUGUGGGUGACGUGACCUCUUCCCAGCAUCCAAGAGUGUUCUGUGGUUGACGUGGCCUCUUCCCAGCAUCCAAGAGUGUUCUGUGGAUGACGUGACCUCUUCCCAGCAUCCAAGAGUGUUCUGUGGAUGACGUGACCUCUUCCCAGCAUCCAAGAGUGUUCUGUGGAUGACGUGACCUCUUCCCAGCAUCCAAGAGUGUUCUGUGGAUGACGUGGCCUCUUCCCAGCAUCCAAGAGUGUUCUGUGGAUGACGUGACCUCUUCCCAGCAUCCAAGAGUGUUCUGUGGAUGACGUGGCCUCUUCCCAGCAUCCAAGAGUGUUCUGUGGAUGACGUGGCCUCUUCCCAGCAUCCAAGAGUGUUCUGUGGAUGACGUGGCCUCUUCCCAGCAUCCAAGAGUGUUCUGUGGAUGACGUGGCCUCUUCCCAGCAUCCAAGAGUGUUCUGUGGAUGACGUGGCCUCUUCCCAGCAUCCAAGAGUGUUCUGUGGGUGACUUGGCCUCUUCCCAGCAUCCAAGAGUGUUCUGUGGGUGACUUGGCCUCUUCCCAGCAUCCAAGAGUGUUCUGUGGGUGACUUGGCCUCUUCCCAGCAUCCAAGAGUGUUCUGUGGAUGACGUGACCUCUUCCCUGCAUCCGAGAGUGUUCUGUGGGUGACCUGACCUCUUCCCUGCAUCUGAGAGUGUUCUGUGGGUGACCUGACCUCCUCCAGCAUCCAGCAGACAGGAGUGUGGAGAGAGAGAGAAGAAGAAGAUGAAGAUACAGGGAAAGACGAAGACGAAGGGAACCGAAGACGAAGGAAACAGCCCAUGGGACGAGAACCUUCCGAGAGAUGCCCACACUUACUGACUGAAGAUUACGAGUGUGGAGAGAGAGAGGAAGAAAAGAAUAGAUGAAGAUACAGGGAAAGACGAAGACGCAGGGAGCCGAAGACGAAGACGAAGGACGGGACGAGAACCUUCCGAGAGGAGCCAACACUUACCGACUGACAACUCCUUCCCUUACAAGACACAGCACCAGCAAGAACAGUUGGCAGAAUGAGACAAGCAGCUUCCAAGAGGUGCUAAAAGAACUGACUGACAAUUCCUUCCCUUACAAGACACAGCAGCAGCCAGAACAGUUGAUAGAAUGAGACAAGAUGCCUCCGAGAGGUGUUGACAGUAAAUGAUCAAGAACUCCUUCCCUCGCAAGACACAAGAUGCUCCCGAAAGAUUAUUCAACCGACUAACCGACCAGACUGACUGACUGUCCUGCCCUCAUAAGACAACUACAACUGGUGCCUCAAGAUCUCACCUUCCAGCAUUAUAAUAAAGUUGUUAAUGUAAAUAAUAAAGUUGAUGUAUUG
Molecule: long non-coding RNA, 1906 nt
Organism: Eriocheir sinensis (Chinese mitten crab)
Lineage: Eukaryota; Metazoa; Arthropoda; Malacostraca; Decapoda; Varunidae
Exons: 3
Source: RefSeq, a predicted model, not a curated record